Molecule: unclassified non-coding RNA, 261 nt
Filed under: uncultured Pyronemataceae
Lineage: Eukaryota; Fungi; Ascomycota; Pezizomycetes; Pezizales; Pyronemataceae
Description: sequence contains ITS2
Rfam family: 5.8S ribosomal RNA (bases 1-52)
Source: RNAcentral
AACGCACAUUGCGCCUCCUGGUAUUCCGGGAGGCAUGCCUGUUCGAGCGUCAUUAAAAACCACUCAAGCUCUUUUGCUUGGUAUUGGGAGAUGAGUAUACUUUUCCUAGUUUACUCACUUUCGAAAUUCAAAGGCGUAGAGCCCCACAUGCCACAGCGUAGUAAGUUUUCUUUCGCUUGGAGUGUGAGGUGAUAUUGCCACAAACCCCCAAUUAUUUUCUAGGUUGACCUCGGAUCAGGUAGGGAUACCCGCUGAACUUAA